AGCGGCAAUAGCUCAAAUUUGAAAUCUGGCUCUUUCAGGGUCCGAGUUGUAAUUUGCAGAGGGCGCUUUGGUGUCGGCAGCGGCCUAAGUUCCUUGGAACAGGUCAUCAUAGAGGGUGAGAAUCCCGUAUGUGGCUGCUUGUCUUCACCGUGUAAAGCCCCUUCGAUGAGUCGAGUUGUUUGGGAAUGCAGCUCUAAAUGGGAGGUAAAUUUCUUCUAAAGCUAAAUAUUGGCCAGAGACCGAUAGCGCACAAGUAGAGUGAUCGAAAGAUGAAAAGCACUUUGGAAAGAGAGUCAAAAAGCACGUGAAAUUGUUGAAAGGGAAGCGCUUGCAGCCAGACGUGCCCGUAGUUGCUCAUCUGGGGAUUUCCCCAGUGCACUCUUCUAUGGGCAGGCCAGCAUCAGUUCGGGCGGUUGGAGAAAGACCUGUGUCACGUAGCUCUCUUCGGGGAGUGUUAUAGGGCAGGUGGAAUGCAACCAGCCUGGACUGAGGUCCGCGCAUCUGCUAGGAUGCUGGCGUAAUGGCUGUAAGCGGCCCGUCUUGAAACACGGACCAAGGAGUCUAACAUCUAUGCGAGUGUUUGGGUGUCAAGCCCGAGCGCGUAAUGAAAGUGAACGGAGGUGGGAACCCCUCGGGGUGCACCAUCGACCGAUCCUGAUGUCUUCGGAUGGAUUUGAGUAAGAGCAUAGCUGUUGGGACCCGAAAGAUGGUGAACUAUGCCUGAAUAGGGUGAAGCCAGAGGAAACUCUGGUGGAGGCUCGCAGCGGUUCUGACGUGCAAAUCGAUCGUCAAA
This 793-nucleotide ribosomal RNA is filed under the name Melanomma pulvis-pyrius. RNAcentral describes it as "eukaryotic LSU rRNA". It matches the Rfam family "Eukaryotic large subunit ribosomal RNA", at positions 97 to 909 of the family's 3401-position model. Lineage: Eukaryota; Fungi; Ascomycota; Dothideomycetes; Pleosporales; Melanommataceae. The record is from RNAcentral.